GUAGGUGGCGAGCGUUGUCCGGAUUUACUGGGUGUAAAGGGCGUGUAGGCGGGAAGGUAAGUCAGAUGUGAAAUUCCGAAGCUCAACUUCGGCGCUGCAUCUGAAACUGCUUUUCUUGAGUGCUGGAGAGGAUAGUGGAAUUCCUAGUGUAGCGGUGAAAUGCGUAGAUAUUAGGAGGAACACCAGUGGCGAAGGCGGCUAUCUGGACAGUAACUGACGCUGAGGCGCGAAAGCGUGGGGAGCAAAC
Molecule: ribosomal RNA, 247 nt
Filed under: uncultured Eubacteriales bacterium
Lineage: Bacteria; Bacillati; Bacillota; Clostridia; Eubacteriales
Description: uncultured Clostridiales bacterium partial 16S ribosomal RNA
Rfam family: Bacterial small subunit ribosomal RNA
Source: RNAcentral